This 250-nucleotide ribosomal RNA is filed under the name uncultured bacterium. RNAcentral describes it as "partial 16S ribosomal RNA". It matches the Rfam family "Bacterial small subunit ribosomal RNA", at positions 524 to 773 of the family's 1533-position model. The record is from RNAcentral.
UACGAGGGGUGCAAGCGUUGCUCGGAAUUAUUGGGCGUAAAGGGUAGGUAGGUGGUCUCAUUUGUCAGGGGUGAAAGCCUUGGGCUUAACCCAAGAAGUGCCCCUGAAACGGUGAGACUGGAGUCUUGGAGAGGGUCGUGGAAUUCCCGGUGUAGCGGUGAAAUGCGUAGAGAUCGGGAGGAACACCAGAGGCGAAGGCGGCGACCUGGACAAGUACUGACACUCAACUACGAAAGCGUGGGUAGCAAAC